CCUGAUUGGUUCCGCCAUUGAUGGGGAAGACGUUAGUGGGAGUGAGACAAAGCUAUACAAGUGGGAGUGAGACAAAGCUAUAACAUAAGUGAUCGUGAUCCGCUAUGCCCGGCUGCGGCUAUGCUACAAUUUUCAAGUACGAUAGUUGAAGAACAAAAUUACCUCGAUCGUUCGCUAUGCAAAAGUAUGACUAUUUCGUAAGCGAGUAAAAUUCACGUUAGAAUAAAAUGCCUAGUUGUGCGGCGCAAGGAUGCUCAAAUUCCUGGAAAUCAGGUUACAAAAUGUGUUAUUUCCCAUUAAAAGAUACACAAAGAUGUGCAAUAUGAUUUCACAACGUGAAUCGUACAAAUUGGAUCCCAACAAAACAUUCAACACUAUGUCAGGUUUAUUUUGCUCCUGAAAUGUGGGAAAAACAUAUAGAGCAGAUGGCAGCUUGAAAUUAAAAAUGAAUGCCAUACCUACUUUAUUUGGUGAAACAGUUACAAAAGAGCUAAUAAUAUAAUUAACGAAAUUGAAAAUAAAGAUCAAUCAACGGAAGACUUUGUGCAAAGUGAGACGGUGCAUAUUAAAGAAAAUUCGUCCCAAAAUAAUGAACAUGAACCAAUGGAAUAUGAAAAUAAAGAUCAAUCAACGGAAAACUUUGUGCAAAGCGAGACGGUGCAUAUUGAAGAAAAUUCGUCCCAAAAUAAUGAACAUGAACCAAUAGAGUAUGAAGAUGUGAACGAAACUAUAAAUAUUGAAAGUAGCGAAGCAGAAAAUGGAAAAUCCGUGCAAUUAAAUAAAGUUUUAAAUUCGUGCACUAAUUGUUUACAAAAAGACAAAACAAUAGAAGAAAUGCGUAAACUUUUAACAAAAAUUGAUCUCUUACAUAAACAUGCAAAAGAAAAACUUUUCAAUGCAAAUCGCAAUAUAAAACGUUUACAACAACGAAAAGGUUCUUCCCAUACAAUUGCAACAAAGGUAAAGAAUAUGUUUAGCGAUACGCAACUAAAACUGUUAUCGAAACGUUCGUCGUUAUUGUAUUUGAAAUUGAAUUAAAUUUAGCGGUCAAACAUCACGCUGGGCUCUUAUUGCCUUUGUCGAGUUUUUUGGUUGAUUAAUUACAGAGCCGUUAUAUAGUAAUUUAAAACUGUUAUCUGGCGAAUUUAUCAAAGUUCCAAAAUGGUGCAAUAAUACUAUACAAAAAGCACUAAAAUUAAGGUUUGCAUGUGGUAGCUCAGGUUAUGAGGAAGUGAUUCGUAAUUUUCCUUUACCUUCGCUACGAACAUUAAAUAGGAAAAUGCAAAAUAUAAAUUUUAAUGGUGGUAUUUUGAAUGACAUUUUUGACUUUUUAAGUAUUAAAGUUUCUUCCUUCAAAAAUAGUUUAGAUAAUCAUUGCAUGCUAGUGCUAGAUGAAAUGAGCAUAACACCUAGUCAUGUAUUAGAUCUAUCAAAAAAUACGUACUUAUAGCGAAUUCGGGCGCUUGCACUAGUGCACACUGAGUGCGCACUAAGGCUUGUUCUUAAUCACAAUUAUUAUAUUUACAAAUCAUCUUAAAUACUUCUUAGUCUAUAAAAUGAUUUUUACACCAUCCAUAUAGAUAUUACAGAUUAUUUUAUUGGCCAAAAAAUC
Long non-coding RNA from Temnothorax curvispinosus, 1612 nucleotides. RefSeq lists it as uncharacterized. NCBI's taxonomy places the organism in Eukaryota, Metazoa, Arthropoda, Insecta, Hymenoptera, Formicidae. The transcript has 4 exons. The record is from RefSeq and is a predicted model, not a curated record.